GUGUGGGUCUCCUCCAUGGCCUGCAGGUGGAUCUCUGCAUCCCUGUGCUCCUCUAUGGCCUGCAGAGGCACAGCUGCUCCACCAUGGGCUGUGCCAGAGGCUGAAGGGGAAUCUCACCUCUGGGAGGCAUUACUAUCAUUCCUGAGGGAAUAGGCCUUAGCCAGAAGCAGGUCCAUCAUGGAGCCAGCUGGCACUGGCUCUGCUGAAUGUGAGGGGAGCUUCCGGCAGAAUCUCACAGAAGCCAUCCUGCAUCCUCCUCACUACCAAAACCACACCAUGCAAACCUGCGGCCACAGCUUUCUUUACAAGGAGCAGCAGGAACAAGUUCUCCAAGGAGUUUUCCUGGGAAGGCAAUGAGAAGCACAGAGAGAAGAGAAAACAAUUAUUAUCUCUA
Passer domesticus (house sparrow) is the source of this 394-nucleotide long non-coding RNA. RefSeq lists it as uncharacterized. Lineage: Eukaryota; Metazoa; Chordata; Aves; Passeriformes; Passeridae. The transcript has 2 exons. The record is from RefSeq and is a predicted model, not a curated record.